Molecule: long non-coding RNA, 1971 nt
Organism: Oncorhynchus kisutch (coho salmon)
Lineage: Eukaryota; Metazoa; Chordata; Actinopteri; Salmoniformes; Salmonidae
Exons: 2
Source: RefSeq, a predicted model, not a curated record
GCAGGUUCUAUCUAACUAAGUUUGUUGUUCAUUCCAACUUCCCACUGUGUAUGAAAAGUUGCAGUAGAGCUGUUUCAUGAUGAACUGUUUCAAUGAGAAGGUAGAUGUUAUUUCAUGCUACUGAGAUGUGCAUGGUUUGACACCAGUAUUGCCAGCAUUUGUUUAAUUAACUGAGCUAUCUGGAGUGAUCAGAGAGUAGACUAAAGAAGUGAAGUAGACCAACUGCCAGUGUUUUAAAGUUCUAUGAAGUGAGUCUGUGUAGUUACUAACCCUUGUUCUAGUGAAUGGAUGUUGAUAUGAAAUGAGUCUAUGUAGUUACUAACCCUUGUUAUAGUGAGUAGAGGAUGACAUGCCCCUUUUUUUAGCUUUCAUCUCUUACCCACUUUUAGAAUAGUUUUAUUCCCCUGUAUUGUACAGCCUACUGAUAUAAAUACAUAUGUCACCCGGUACAGACAGAAGAGGACCGGCCACCCCUUUGAGCCUGGUUCCUCUCUGUUUCUUCCAAGGUUCCUGCUUUCUAGGGAGUUUUUCGUGGCCAUUGUGCUUCUACAUCUGCAUUGCUUGCUCUUUGGGGAUUUCGGGAGACCAUGUUGAGACAUUCUCUACAUCCAGAGAGCAUCAGCAGGAAGAUCACAUAGCAAAGAGGUCUCACCACUGCACACAUUGUGAGGGGAUUUUCCCAUUUCUAUCAAAGCUAAAAAUACACCUAAAAAUACAUACAAGAGAAAAGCUUUACUCCUGCUCUGACUGUGGAUCGAGUUUUUCUCGACUGGGCCACCUAAAAAGACAUGAGCGUUUACACACUGGAGAGAAGCCUUACUCCUGCUCUGACUGUGGAUCGAGUUUUUCUCGACUGGGUACCUUAAAACAACAUGAACGUAUACACAAAGGAGAGAAGCCUUACUCCUGCUCUGACUGUGGGGCGAGUUUCUCUCGACUGGGUACCUUAAAACAACAUGAACGUAUACACACAGGAGAGAAGCCUUACUCCUGCUCUUACUGUGGAAAGAGUUUCUCUCGACCGUGCACCUUACAGAAACAUGAACGUAUACACACGGGAGAGAAGCCUUACUCCUGCUAUGACUGUGGGGCGAGUUUCUCUCGUCCGGACACCUUAAAAUUACAUGAUUGUAUACACACAGGAGAGAAGCCUUACUCCUGCUCUGACUGUGGAAAGCGUUUCCGUCAACUGGGUACCUUAAAACAACAUGAACGCAUACACACAGGAUAGAAGCCUUACUCCUGCUCUGACUUUGAAAAGAGUUUAUCUUAGGAGUAAGAGAAGCCUUACUCCUUUUCUGAAUGUGGGGCAAGUUUCUCUUGUCCGGACACCUUAAAAUGACCUGAACAUAUACACACACUGGAGAGAAGCCUUACUCCUGCUCCGACUGUGGAAAGUGUUUCUCUUGAAUGUGCCAUUUAAAAAGACACCAAAGGAAAGGAGGAGGGAGCCUUACCACUGAUCUGACUGUAGGAAAUGUUAAAACACCAGCUGAGCUUAAAGGUCAUUAGAGAAAAGACAAAGGAGAGAAGCCUUAUAUCCGCUCUCAAUGUGGCAAGAGUUUUUCCCAAUUGGUCAAUGUAAAAACACACCAAUGGAUACACACUUCAGAGAAGCCUUAUCACUGCACUGACUGUGGGAAGAGGUUCUACAGAUUGGGUCAUUUAAAAAGACACAAAUGUAUGCAUAAAGGACAGGCCUCAUCAGUUCUCUCAGACCAGCUAAGAUUAGACACUCCACUUAAUUCUCAUGUCAUUAAAUAAUUGGUUAUACUUGUUUAUAUGCUUAUAUAUCGGACAUGUGUGUUUUCAAAGUUCAGCGACACAAGUCUGUAAAUCAAAACCAAAUAUACAGGGUGUUGCAUGCUGUGAUCGUUGAGAAAACUGGGACAUGUAUCCUGCAAAGAAUCCUGAAUUGUCUGUAUAGGUAAUACUUGAUGCAUGAAUAAAAUAAAAAUUCUAUAAUGAAAA